RNAcentral lists this long non-coding RNA (431 nucleotides) under Cairina moschata (Muscovy duck). RNAcentral describes it as "domestica (muscovy Duck (domestic type)) lncRNA (ENSCMMG00000005736.1)". Lineage: Eukaryota; Metazoa; Chordata; Aves; Anseriformes; Anatidae. The record is from RNAcentral.
UAUUCUCUUGCCAUUUAUUUAAAUAUAAUUUUCUAUAAUAAAAAUACAAGCCCUCUAGCAUCAUGUUUCUUUCUUUGUUCAUCUCAAGUUGAAUACAUGUGGUGAAAAACAAAAUCAGUGAAAGAUUGUAUCAAACCUAAUACUUCAGCAUCCAAAUCACUUCUGAGAACUGUGUCUGAACACUGUAAAGUGCUUCCUACCAUUGUGGCUUGAAAUUUUCUGCCAAUAAAACGUUUAUUUGCACCCAUGAGCCUUUCUCAGUGUACUGGACGCUGUACAAACACAGCACAGCUUCAUCAAAAGAUCACAGGUAAACAAGAAAAAUAUGAACUGUCAAUGAAUCAGGUUGGAGACGUUUCAAGAAAAACACUGACAAAAUCAAUAUUAUGUCAAGUUUAAGUCCACAUCUUCAUUAAUGACCCAGAAACGUA